UGAUGGAUCAGAUGAUGGGUCU
This 22-nucleotide non-coding RNA is filed under the name Rattus norvegicus (Norway rat). Lineage: Eukaryota; Metazoa; Chordata; Mammalia; Rodentia; Muridae. The record is from RNAcentral.